Molecule: long non-coding RNA, 745 nt
Organism: Cololabis saira (Pacific saury)
Lineage: Eukaryota; Metazoa; Chordata; Actinopteri; Beloniformes; Belonidae
Exons: 3
Source: RefSeq, a predicted model, not a curated record
AUGUGAUUCAGCGAAGGAAAACAUUUUUUUCUUUGUGUUAUGUGGCUCUCUGGCAAUAAGUCUCACCGUCGUAGUGGUCCUUGUUUGUGUUAUCAGGAAAAAUGUCUGUUACUGUUGCAAAGCUUCUGUGUCUCUGCGAGCCAAAGCUGAAAUGAUCAGUGGUGAACAGAAAAAUCAGCAGGAGGUAAAUCAGGAGUCUGUGAUUUAUUCUGAAGACGUCUUUAUCCGGAGGAAAGGAAACAAAGCAGCGAGGAGAAAUGUCCAAGUAGAUGAAGAGACGAUCUACAGUGAUGUCAGGGUUUGAUUAAGACAAACGCUGGAUUUAAGUAGCGUACAUUUAGUGUGAACCAUAUUCCUAUGUUGUUGUUUUUUUAAGCCCUGCAGAUAGUGUUACUGGUAUUAAAGUAAUAAUGCUGAUUGUAUAACUAUCCCUAUGUUAUAAACUAUGUGGUAUUUGAUAAUGAAAUAUUCUAAAAUGGCUUUUGAUACUUCUAAUGUCAGGGUUUAAUUAAGAUUAAGAUUUCCAUGUAAAUAUGGCGUGUCUAUCCUUGUUAUUUUUCCCGAAACUCUGCAAAUUGUGUUAUUGGUAUGACUGUAAUGAACGCUCUGCUGUUUUUCUAACUAUCUCUGUAUUAUAAUCUAUGCGGUAUUUGAUUAUGAAAUGUCCUAAAAAGGCUUCUGAUAAUUCUGCCCACUUUGGCUUUUUGGAAGACGUAUCUUGAAGGAAUUCUCCUUUUCCAGUUUG